Molecule: non-coding RNA, 367 nt
Organism: Pimephales promelas (fathead minnow)
Lineage: Eukaryota; Metazoa; Chordata; Actinopteri; Cypriniformes; Leuciscidae
Source: RefSeq, a predicted model, not a curated record
CAACACCAACCAAUUGAGGAAGACUAGAAAACAUACAGUAGCACAAGAGAUGAAGAGCUGAGCACACAAAGUCAAGGUCAGCGAUCAAGAGGUGGCUUGCAGUCUGUCAGCAAACCUACACUCCAUUAAUUUAUUCGAUUAAACCAGAGAAAGACUAUUAUUCAAAUUCCGUGUAUCAUGUUGAUGACAAAUGUCAGAAAGCCUGGUUAUAUCCGUCUCCAAAUAUAUUAAUCUCCUAUUUACAGUAGACAGCAUUUUCGAUUUUGGGGGUUAUUUGAUGCCUACCUUUUAUUCUGUACUUUGGGCUUAAGUUGUUUUUUUGAUCCGGAUGUCCAUAUUGUCCUUAUCACGAAAUUAAAAGUAUUAA